Leopardus geoffroyi (Geoffroy's cat) is the source of this 1342-nucleotide long non-coding RNA. RefSeq lists it as uncharacterized. NCBI's taxonomy places the organism in Eukaryota, Metazoa, Chordata, Mammalia, Carnivora, Felidae. The record is from RefSeq and is a predicted model, not a curated record. The transcript has 5 exons.
CGGAGCGAGGGGCGGAGCAAGGGCGGGUCAGUUCUGGGUGCUGGUCUCCUGCCUCUGAACCUGCCGGGAACCUGUGGGCGCCGGCACCUGUCUCCACUCACGUGACGUGGGACUCAGUGACCCCUGAAGGCUUGGGGUUUACCAGGCUGCUGCACAAAAUUCACUCUCCAGCCCUACUUUGGAGCAAUGAGGAACCCCAGCGUCUUGAUCUGUCGUUUUGGAGCUGCUUCACGUGGAAGAUGGAGAGGACCAGUUUCGACAAACCUAGUAUCUGUCCAUUAACAAGAGAUGAUGGAGUUCAAGCAGGUUUGAUGGGGCUUGUCCAAAGAAAUACAGUCCCAGAGCAGUCUUUUUAGGACCUAAACAUACAAUGCGAACAAGAACAUGAGAAAAGACACUUUCACAGGAAGCUUCCCAGGUUUAUUGUUUAUUUAACUGCUUUGAACGAAAUGCUUGGGUCUUACCUGAAUGAGAAUGUGGACGAGACGCAGUCAUCAUGAAGAUGAACACUGUGUUCCGGCUGAAGCUUCUGCUGUUGGACAACACUGUCUCCUGAGGCGUGGAAGACUAGCAUCAUCUUAAAGCAAGAGGGAAUCGACAACGAACAGUACUGGGUCCUACCCAGGAGGAAGCUCCUCCAUGAAAGCGUUUCCUGAACCGACGAGACCUUGGCAGCAACGUCUCGUGUGAAAGUUUUCAAGACGCCCACGAGUGGAAAAUGUACUCCCCCCCCAGCCAAAUCAAACUCUGCCAGAUUCCUUACAGCUGUGUGCCGUUGAAAUGACUAAUGAAAGCACCUUCCACUGCUGGUGGAACUUUCACAUAGGGCACUGCUUGCCAGGACCCGACCCUGCGUAUUUACAUACUGGAUGUCACCCCAAAAGCCCCCCGACCAGGGGAUUUCCGGGAUGUAAUGAGAACGCCACUCUGGGCCUUGGAAGGUGCACUGUCUGAGCGCUUGUCCUGCAGGGAAGGAGGGUAGCAUUUCGGACCCCAGCUGGCUCUUCUUCUGGGGAGAUGUGUAUUUCAGUCACAGAUCCACUGGUGGCAAGAUACUGCCUGUCUGCCAAGUGUUAAGGUGCUGGGAAUACCUGCGUGAGACUUCAGGGCCCCUGUGCAUCUGGAACUUGGUGCUUGGCUAAGGCAAGAGAUACAAACGCUCUGACAAUCUCAAUCUGUAACAUGGGUAAAAAGGGGGCAUUCUGGGAGCUCCCGAGAGGGGCACCUAACUUAGGGGUGGCCAGGGAAAGCUUCCUGGGACUUGUAAUGAAAGGGCUGAGUCUUCAAAAAAAAUUUUAAAGUCCUUUUUCUUAAGAAUAAGAAAAUCUAGUUACAAAGGUAA